Molecule: ribosomal RNA, 497 nt
Filed under: uncultured bacterium
Lineage: Bacteria
Description: partial 16S ribosomal RNA
Rfam family: Bacterial small subunit ribosomal RNA
Source: RNAcentral
GAUGAACGCUGACGGCGUGCCUAAUACAUGCAAGUCGAGCGAACGGACGAGAAGCUUGCUUCUCUGAUGUUAGCGGCGGACGGGUGAGUAACACGUGGAUAACCUACCUAUAAGACUGGGAUAACUUCGGGAAACCGGAGCUAAUACCGGAUAAUAUUUUGAACCGCAUGGUUCAAAAGUGAAAGACGGUCUUGCUGUCACUUAUAGAUGGAUCCGCGCUGCAUUAGCUAGUUGGUAAGGUAACGGCUUACCAAGGCAACGAUGCCUAGCCGACCUGAGAGGGUGAUCGGCCACACUGGAACUGAGACACGGUCCAGACUCCUACGGGAGGCAGCAGUAGGGAAUCUUCCGCAAUGGGCGAAAGCCUGACGGAGCAACGCCGCGUGAGUGAUGAAGGUCUUCGGAUCGUAAAACUCUGUUAUUAGGGAAGAACAUAUGUGUAAGUAACUGUGCACAUCUUGACGGUACCUAAUCAGAAAGCCACGGCUAACUACGUG